GUGAGGUAAUGGCCCACCAAGGCUUCGACGGGUAGCCGGCCUGAGAGGGUGACCGGCCACACUGGGACUGAGACACGGCCCAGACUCCUACGGGAGGCAGCAGUGGGGAAUAUUGGACAAUGGGCGAAAGCCUGAUCCAGCAACGCCGCGUGAGGGAUGACGGCCUUCGGGUUGUAAACCUCUUUCAGCAGGGACGAAGCGCAAGUGACGGUACCUGCAGAAGAAGCACCGGCCAACUACGUGCCAGCAGCCGCGGUAAUACGUAGGGUGCAAGCGUUGUCCGGAAUUAUUGGGCGUAAAGGGCUCGUAGGCGGUCCGUCACGUCGGGAGUGAAAACUUGGGGCUCAACCCCAAGACUGCUUUCGAUACGGGCGGACUAGAGGUAGGCAGGGGAGAACGGAAUUCCUGGUGUAGCGGUGGAAUGCGCAGAUAUCAGGAGGAACACCGGUGGCGAAGGCGGUUCUCUGGGCCUUACCUGACGCUGAGGAGCGAAAGCGUGGGGAGCGAACAGGAUUAGAUACCCUGGUAGUCCACGCCGUAAACGUUGGGCGCUAGGUGUGGGACUCAUUCCACGAGUUCCGUGCCGCAGCUAACGCAUUAAGCG
Molecule: ribosomal RNA, 604 nt
Filed under: uncultured Actinomycetes bacterium
Lineage: Bacteria; Bacillati; Actinomycetota; Actinomycetes
Description: bacterial SSU rRNA
Rfam family: Bacterial small subunit ribosomal RNA
Source: RNAcentral